GACGAACGCUGGCGGCGUGCUUAACACAUGCAAGUCGAACGGAAAGGCCUGCUUUCCCUUGUGGAUUGCGGGCACUCGAGUGGCGAACGGGUGAGCAACACGUGAGUGAUCUGCCCCCAACUUGGGUAUAAGCCUGGGAAACUGGGUCUAAUUCCCGAUAGGACUGCAGGGUGGUGCCUGUGGUGGAAAACGAUUUUCUAGUGGUUGGGGAUGAGCUCGCGGCCUAUCAGCUUGUUGGUGGGGUAAUGGCCUACCAAGGCGGCGACGGGUAGCCGGCCUGAGAGGGUGGACGGCCACAUUGGGACUGAGAUACGGCCCAGACUCCUACGGGAGGCAGCAGUGGGGAAUAUUGCACAAUGGGCGGAAGCCUGAUGCAGCGACGCCGCGUGGGGGAUGACGGCCUUCGGGUUGUAAACUCCUUUCGACCGCGAGGAAGCCACCUGGUUGGAAGGGUGGUGACGGUAGUGGUAGAAGAAGCACCGGCUAACUACGUG
This 494-nucleotide ribosomal RNA is filed under the name uncultured bacterium. RNAcentral describes it as "partial 16S ribosomal RNA". It matches the Rfam family "Bacterial small subunit ribosomal RNA", at positions 28 to 507 of the family's 1533-position model. The record is from RNAcentral.